CCUACGGGAGGCAGCAGUAGGGACUCUUCCACAAUGGGCGAAAGCCUGAUGGAGCAACGCCGCGUGGGUGAAGAAUGUCUUCUGAUCGUAACACCCUGUUGUUAUAGAAGUAAAUGCUUGAGAGUAACUGUUCACGUUUCUACGGUACCUUAAGAAUAAGCUCCGGCUAACUACAGGCCAGCAGCCGCGGUAAUACGUAGGGAGCACGCGUUGUUCGGAAUGACUGGGCGGAAAGGGUGCGUAGGCGGUUAUACAAGUGAGAAAGGAAAUACCCAGGGCUUAACUCGGGUGCUGCUUCUAAAACUGUAAGACUUGAGUGCAGUAGAGGUUAGUGGAAUUCCUAGUGUAGCGGUGGAAUGCGUAGAUAUUAGGAGGAACACCAGAGGCGAAGGCGGCUAACUGGACUGCAACUGACGCUGAGGCACGAAAGUGUGGGGAGCAAACAGGAUUAGAUACCCCAGUAGUC
RNAcentral lists this ribosomal RNA (466 nucleotides) under uncultured bacterium. Its description in RNAcentral is "partial 16S ribosomal RNA". It matches the Rfam family "Bacterial small subunit ribosomal RNA", at positions 338 to 795 of the family's 1533-position model. The record is from RNAcentral.